GACGAACGCUGGCGGCGUGCUUAACACAUGCAAGUCGAACGGAAAGGCCCUGCUUUUGUGGGGUGCUCGAGUGGCGAACGGGUGAGUAACACGUGAGUAACCUGCCCUUGACUUUGGGAUAACUUCAGGAAACUGGGGCUAAUACCGGAUAGGAGCUCCUGCUGCAUGGUGGGGGUUGAAAGUUUCGGCGGUUGGGGAUGGACUCGCGGCUUAUCAGCUUGUUGGUGGGGUAGUGGCUUACCAAGGCUUUGACGGGUAGCCGGCCUGAGAGGGUGACCGGCCACAUUGGGACUGAGAUACGGCCCAGACUCCUACGGGAGGCAGCAGUGGGGAAUAUUGCACAAUGGGCGGAAGCCUGAUGCAGCAACGCCGCGUGCGGGAUGACGGCCUUCGGUUUGUAUACCGCUUUCGCCUGUGACGAAGCGUGAGUGACGGUAAUGGGUAAAGAAGCACCGGCUAACUACGUG
Molecule: ribosomal RNA, 467 nt
Filed under: uncultured bacterium
Lineage: Bacteria
Description: partial 16S ribosomal RNA
Rfam family: Bacterial small subunit ribosomal RNA
Source: RNAcentral